Long non-coding RNA from Scomber japonicus (chub mackerel), 209 nucleotides. RefSeq lists it as uncharacterized. The transcript is spliced from 3 exons. Lineage: Eukaryota; Metazoa; Chordata; Actinopteri; Scombriformes; Scombridae. The record is from RefSeq and is a predicted model, not a curated record.
GAACAUUUGAUCCUAAAAUGCUGCACAACAAGCAGCAAUGCAAGAAUUCCCAACAUCAAGGAGUGUUUCGAACAGAUGCCAAGAACGAAAUGCAACUUCCACGCCUUUGUGGUCAUAAAUCAAAACGAUAAGCAAUACUGUGUGGAUCCAGAAGCUCGGUGGCUCAAAGGUCGUAUCAAAAAGGGUCUGAAGUGUCCUCCCAUCAUCCC